UGAUCACAAGAUUGUGUGGCAGAGGAAAGUCAGGGGAGACAGAUGGGAAGUGUAUUCCCCAGAACAGAUAGAGAUGAUAGAGAAGUCCUACACUAGUCGCUCAGAGUCGUGUGUGAUCGGCAGCCCAGGCAAACAAAUAAAAUAUCGCCUUGAUUUCACCAACCUAUGUAGCACAAAUUUAAGUGAUAGCAGUAGCUGUGAUAUCAGAAGAUCUGAAAUGUCUUAUAGUGAAUAUGCUCAGAAGUUUGAGAAACAGUAAAAGAAGGAAGCAACCAAGUAUCUGCUGACUAAAGAUGGAUCAUGACUUUACUCAGCUGACUAAAGAUGGAUCAUGACUUAAUAAACUCGAUCAGCUGACUAAAGAUGGAUCAUGACUUAAUAAACUCGAUCAGCUGACUUAAGAUGGAUCAUGACUUAAUAAACUCGAUCAGCUGACUAAAGAUGGAUCGUGACUUGUAAGGGUCGAUUAACUUGGUUGUCUUGUGUCAAAACCAGGUACAAAUCUAAUCCUCUUGACUUCUGUGUUGGACUGAUGUUUCAGGUGUAAAUUCUGUAGAAUUUAAGACCUCAAGACUAAUAAUUUUGACUAUGGUCUCUAGUGUAUACUUUAAUAGGCUUCCCAACUAACAAGUGCUGGUCUGUUGUGUAGGGGUCAGCUGGUCCUUGUCUAUAACACACAGCUGACCACUGCAUUGUAUGCAUGGAAAUUAAAGUAAACUUGACUGUCAAAUAGCCUAUAUCUCUUGGUCUGCCUUGAGACUUACAACAUGUUACCAUGUUUUGACCCUGCUGAGCAGUUGGAUGACAUUUUACUUUAUGUGUUGUCAGUGACAACUUAUAUCAGAGUUUUUAUACGUAGACUCUACAAGUGCAUUUAAUACUAGUAUUAUAAUUUCUUUCCGAGACUGGAAAAUUUCCCUGGGAAAGACAUUUUCUUCUUUGUUUUUGUGAUAAACCUGUAAAAUCAGUAGAUGUGCAGUGAUAGAAAUUAUCCUGCUAGAGCAUAACAAGUGACCUUUUUCUCCUUAAGACAACAUCCAAGGGAAAUUCCCUCAAGCCUGAGCUAGUCUGUAAUAUUGGCCCUGUUGUUAGACUGAAGUCUGUCAUAUUGGCCUUGUUGUUAGACUGAGGUCUGUCAUAUUGACCCUGUUGUUAGACUGAGGUCUGCCAUAUUGGCCCUGUUGUUGGGCUAAAGUCUGUCAUAUUGGCCUUGUUGUUAGACUGAGGUCUGUCAUAUUGGCCUUGUUGUUAGACUGAGGUCUGUCAUAUUGGCCUUGUUGUUAGACUGAGGUCUGUCAUAUUGACCCUGUUGUUAUACUGAGGUCUGUCAUAUUGGACCUGUUGUUAGGCUGAAGUCUGUCAUAUCGACCCUUUUGUUGGACUGAGGUCUGUCAUAUUGGCCCUGUUGUUAUACUGAGGUCUGUCAUAUUGGACCUGUUGUUAGACUGAGGUCUGUCAUAUUGGCCCUGUUGUUAGACUGAGGUCUGUCAUAUUGGCCCUGUUGUUAUACUGAGGUCUGUCAUAUUGGACCUGUUGUUAGACUGAGGUCUGUCAUAUUGGCCCUGUUGUUAGACUGAGGUCUGUCAUAUUGGCCCUGUUGUUAUACUGAGGUCUGUCAUAUUGACCCUGUUGUUAGACUGAGGUCUGUCAUAUUGCCCCUGUUGUUAGACUGAAGUCUGUCAUAUUGGCCUUGUUGUUAGACUGAGGUCUGUCAUAUUGGCCCUGUUGUUAGACUGAGGUCUGUCAUAUUGGCCCUGUUGUUAGACUGAGGUCUGUCAUAUUGGCCCUGUUGUUAGGUCAAGGUCUGUCAUAUUGGCCCUGUUGUUAUACUGAGGUCUGUCAUAUUGGCCCUGUUGUUAGACCGAGGUCUGUCAUAUUGGCCCUGUUGUUAGACUGAAGUCUGUCAUAUUGGCCCUGUUGUUAGACUGAAGUCUGUCAUAUUGGCCCUGUUGUUAGACUGAAGUCUGUCAUAUUGACCCUGUUGUUAGACUGAGGUCUGUCAUAUCGGCCCUGUUGUUAGACUGAAGUCUGUCAUAUUGACCCUGUUGUUAGACUGAAGUCUGUCAUAUUGGCCUUGUUGUUAGACUGAAGUCUGUCAUAUUGGCCUUGUUGUUAGACUGAAGUCUGUCAUAUUGACCCUGUUGUUAGACUGAGGUCUGUCAUAUUGGCCUUGUUGUUAGACUGAGGUCUGUCAUAUUGCCCCUGUUUGUAGGUCAAGGCAUAUGUAUUGCAUAAUUGACCUUUUCUGCCAACAGGAAAUAAGUUGAUUGAUAACUCUUAUAGCAGUUAACAGGAAAUGUACCUUUUUGUUAAGUAUAAUAAAACAUAUCUCAUUACUUUACUAAAAAAAUGUAUUCAAAACAUCGACUUUGCAAGUUUGCCUACAUGAUUGAGGAUCAGGUUUUUCUAACACAGCAUAUCAUGUUGGUCAAGUUGAAGUAAUUUGAUCAAUAUUUGCCUGUUUUGCUUAGACCAUGGUCACUAUAAAAAUGCAGUAUACAUUCUAUAGUUAAC
Long non-coding RNA from Pecten maximus, 2514 nucleotides. RefSeq lists it as uncharacterized. The transcript is spliced from 3 exons. Lineage: Eukaryota; Metazoa; Mollusca; Bivalvia; Pectinida; Pectinidae. The record is from RefSeq and is a predicted model, not a curated record.